AGUGGUAUUUGCAAAUCUGGGAAAUAAAGAACAGGGAUGUUAAAUUUUGCUAUUGUUCAAAUUUAUAGCUUAUAAAGUAAUAACAAAGUGUCAGGCAAGUAAGAGGUCUCAGUGUGGGAGAUUGCAGACUUUUUUUUGCAGACUUGAGAAAAUCAUCUGUUCUGGAUUGAAAGGUGGUUAUGAUGAAGAGAAGCCAGGACCUGCUUCUAAAUUGCUGGGUGAAUAAAAACUCUGGAAGGACUUGAAAUUGCUGAUAGAUGAACACAGGAAGGUGAAAUAAUUGUGAACAAAAUGGGAUGCCUGGUACGUAUGGAACAAGGAGUUUUUGAGUUACAGGUAUU
This is a long non-coding RNA of Cygnus olor (mute swan), 341 nucleotides long. RefSeq lists it as uncharacterized. The transcript is spliced from 3 exons. The record is from RefSeq and is a predicted model, not a curated record. Lineage: Eukaryota; Metazoa; Chordata; Aves; Anseriformes; Anatidae.